This 214-nucleotide unclassified non-coding RNA is filed under the name uncultured Pseudomonadota bacterium. RNAcentral's name for it is "uncultured proteobacterium contains 16S-23S intergenic spacer region". Lineage: Bacteria; Pseudomonadati; Pseudomonadota. The record is from RNAcentral.
UCCGGCUUAUCACCGGCAGUUCCUUUAGAGUGCCCAACUAAAUGGUAGCAACUAAAGACGAGGGUUGCGCUCGUUGCGGGACUUAACCCAACAUCUCACGACACGAGCUGACAACAGCCAUGCAGCACCUGUGCUAGCCCCUUACGGACACGGGCUUUCACCCGCUUUAACUAGCAUGUCAAGCCUAGGUAAGGUGGGGAUGACGUGAGGAUAG